UAUAGUUUGAUCUAUGUUGUUUGCUCAUAGAAUGUACUCCGUUUUGUUGCACUGUUUCUUUUCUUAUUCUUAUAUGCAGGGAUGAUUUGUUUUCUUUUCUUUUCAGUUUCAAACAGAUUUACAGUUCUUUUCUCUUGCUUAAAUUUGUGAAAUAUAUGUAUAUGGAGAGCCCAGAUUAAGAAAUAGCGGUUACGCAUUAUGUAGCCUUUUUAUUGGGUUAAACGAUGGAGUACAAUGUGUUCAUUUGAUGUUUUUAGCUGAGAUUGUGAUGAUUUUCAUUUUGUGGAUUUUCAGUUUUUGCAAGAUGGUAGUAGUGUAUGAGAGCGUUAAGAGGAGGCUGUGAGUAGAAGGUGGUUCUUUGCAGGCUAGGCAAGCAAAAGUUCACUCUCUGGACUUGCUCCACUUGAAGCAGUGCUAUUUGAUAUUGAUAGAACUCUGUGUGAUUUAGACCCCAUUCAUUUCAAUGCCUUCCACAAAAUGCUUCCAUAGUUUUUGCAAGAUGUUAACAGUGUACAAGAGAGUCAAGAAGAGUACAAGAGAGUCAAGAAGAGGCUGUGAGUAGAAGGAGGUUCUUUGCAGGCUAGACAAGAGUUAAAACUCCUGCAAAAGACAAGAAAGAAAGAACAGAAACCACUUCUGCAGUAGAGCAAACAAGAGAUGGAUCUAAUUUCAACAGACAUCAAGGCAGAAAAAUCCCCUUCCCCCACCAGUGGCAUAUAUGUAAAGACAUGUCCAAACUCUUUUGAACAAGGAGCAGCUCAACUGUUGAUAUUUUGAUUGCUGCUUGGUUUAAUAAAAUAUGAUCAAUAUUUUAAGAUGACAAGCAACAUAUAAAACACGUUAUUAGUCUUUA
Prunus avium (sweet cherry) is the source of this 853-nucleotide non-coding RNA. NCBI's taxonomy places the organism in Eukaryota, Viridiplantae, Streptophyta, Magnoliopsida, Rosales, Rosaceae. The record is from RefSeq and is a predicted model, not a curated record.